AGUGAACGCUGGCGGGAGGCCUAACACAUGCAAGUCGAACGGCAGCGCAGUAAGAGCUUGCUCUGACGGGUGGCGAGUGGCGGACGGGUGAGGAAUACAUCGGAAUCUACUUUUUCGUAGGGGAUAACGUAGGGAAACUUACGCUAAUACCGCAUAGGACCUACGGGUGAAAGCAGGGGAUCUUCGGACCUUGCGCGAUUGAAUGAGCCGAUGUCGGAUUAGCUAGUUGGCGGGGUAAAGGCCCACCAAGGCGACGAUCCGUAGCUGGUCUGAGAGGAUGAUCAGCCACACUGGAACUGAGACACGGUCCAGACUCCUACGGGAGGCAGCAGUGGGGAAUAUUGGACAAUGGGCGCAAGCCUGAUCCAGCCAUCCCGCGUGGGUGAAGAAGGCCUUCGGGUUGUAAAGCCCUUUUGUUGGGAAAGAAAAGCAGCAGGUUAAUACCCCGCUGUUCUGACGGUACCCAAAGAAUAAGCACCGGCUAACUUCGUG
This 492-nucleotide ribosomal RNA is filed under the name uncultured bacterium. RNAcentral describes it as "partial 16S ribosomal RNA". It matches the Rfam family "Bacterial small subunit ribosomal RNA", at positions 29 to 507 of the family's 1533-position model. The record is from RNAcentral.